GCCUGGCUGGCUCAGUCAGUGGGGCGUGUGACUCUUGAUCUCGAGGUUGUGAGUUCAAGUCCCACUUUGGGUG
This 73-nucleotide transfer RNA is filed under the name Ailuropoda melanoleuca (giant panda). It matches the Rfam family "tRNA". From Rfam's summary of the family: Transfer RNA (tRNA) molecules are approximately 80 nucleotides in length. Their secondary structure includes four short double-helical elements and three loops (D, anti-codon, and T loops). Lineage: Eukaryota; Metazoa; Chordata; Mammalia; Carnivora; Ursidae. The record is from Rfam by way of RNAcentral.